RNAcentral lists this ribosomal RNA (754 nucleotides) under uncultured bacterium. RNAcentral describes it as "bacterial SSU rRNA". It matches the Rfam family "Bacterial small subunit ribosomal RNA", at positions 92 to 831 of the family's 1533-position model. The record is from RNAcentral.
CGAGUGGCGAACUGGUGAGUAACACGUGGGUAACCUUCCCUUGAAGUAGGGGAUAACACUUGGAAACAGGUGCUAAUACCGGAUAACAACCAAAACCACCUGGUUUUGGUUUAAAAGAUGGCUUCGGCUAUCACUUUAGGAUGGACCCGCGGCGUAUUAGCUUGUUGGUAAGGUAACGGCCUACCAAGGCAAUGAUACGUAGCCGACCUGAGAGGGUAAUCGGCCACAUUGGGACUGAGACACGGCCCAAACUCCUACGGGAGGCAGCAGUAGGGAAUCUUCCACAAUGGACGAAAGUCUGAUGGAGCAACGCCGCGUGAGUGAUGAAGGGUUUCGGCUCGUAAAACUCUGUUGUUGGAGAAGAACAGGUGUGAGAGUAACUGUUCACAUCUUGACGGUAUCCAACCAGAAAGCCACGGCUAACUACGUGCCAGCAGCCGCGGUAAUACGUAGGUGGCAAGCGUUGUCCGGAUUUAUUGGGCGUAAAGCGAGCGCAGGCGGUUUCUUAGGUCUGAUGUGAAAGCCUUCGGCUUAACCGGAGAAGUGCAUCGGAAACCAGGAGACUUGAGUGCAGAAGAGGACAGUGGAACUCCAUGUGUAGCGGUGAAAUGCGUAGAUAUAUGGAAGAACACCAGUGGCGAAGGCGGCUGUCUGGUCUGUAACUGACGCUGAGGCUCGAAAGCAUGGGUAGCGAACAGGAUUAGAUACCCUGGUAGUCCAUGCCGUAAACGAUGAGUGCUAAGUGUUGGAGGGU